AUGGCCUACCCCGCCGCGGCCGCCGCCGCGGCCACUGCCUCCAGCUUGUCAAACGGCCUCUCCAGCAUCUUCUCCCCCUCCCCGCCAACCGUAAAACCACCCAAAGCCGAGCCCGACGCGGACCAGAUCCUCCGGAAGCCCCUUCGCGGUGUCCUCAAGGCCUUCAUCAGGCAGCGGGACCCUGAUAAGCUGGUCUCCAUGUUCGUCCAAGCUUCGUCAGCAUCGCCGCGCUUCGGCGACCGGCACGACCUGUACGAUGCAGCGGUGAGCCGCCUCACUUCCUUCGGCCGCCCAGACGGCAUCCAGGCCAUCAUCGACGCGCAGAAGCCCUUCCUCGAGACCUCAACCGCGGAAUUCGCCGCGCGCCUCAUCUGCCUCUACGGCCGUGCCUCCAUGCCAUCCCAAGCGGCCGCAACCUUCCAUCAACUUCCCGCGCGGCAUAAGUCCACGAGGACAUUCAACGCCGUCCUUGCCGCGUACGCCGAGGCCGGAGAUCUUGACGGGCUCGCUGUUGCAUUCCAGGACAUCCCAGCCACUCACCCCUCCAUUGUUCCCGACGUGUACUCUUACAACGCACUCAUCCGCACAUUCUGCCAGAAGUACGACCUCUCAGCGGCUCUUGAUGCUGUUCAUCUCAUGAAGAAGCACGGUGUUUCACCUGACAUUAUUACUUUCAACUCGCUCUUGGAUGGGUUUCACAACAGUGGCCGUAAUGAGGAAACCGAGGCAGUAUGGGAAAUGAUUAAGGAGAGGAAUUUGGAGCCAGACGCAAAAUGCUACAAUGCAAAGCUGCGGGGUUUGGUUGCAGAAGGUAAGAUUGAUGAUGCAGCUGCUGUGCUUGAGAGGUUGGAGAAGGACGGGCCAAAACCCAAUAUAGUAUCCUACAAUGAAUUGAUUCGAGGAUAUUGCCAAGCAGCGAGGUUCCAGGAGGCCAAGAAGGUGUAUGAUAAUUUGAUGAAGAAUGAGUGUGCCCCAAAUAAGGUGACA
Molecule: ribosomal RNA, 987 nt
Filed under: Triticum aestivum (bread wheat)
Lineage: Eukaryota; Viridiplantae; Streptophyta; Magnoliopsida; Poales; Poaceae
Description: partial small subunit ribosomal RNA
Source: RNAcentral